RNAcentral lists this ribosomal RNA (1370 nucleotides) under metagenome. RNAcentral's name for it is "bacterial LSU rRNA". It matches the Rfam family "Bacterial large subunit ribosomal RNA", at positions 1482 to 2925 of the family's 2925-position model. The record is from RNAcentral.
UGAAGUCUCGGAGCCGGGUGUUGGUUCCGGUAGUGAUCGAGGGAAAUUAGUACCGAAGUCCGGGAUGGAAGAUGGCGAGAAAAGCUGUGUGUAUUUCUGCGGUGCCCGUACCGCAAACCGACACAGGUAGGUAGGAAGAAGAUUCUAAGGCCAACGGGAGAAGGGUUGUUAAGGAACUCGGCAAAUUGACCCCGUAACUUCGGGAGAAGGGGUGCUCCAGAGAUGGAGCCGCAGAGAAUCGGCCCAAGCAACUGUUUACCAAAAACACAGGUUUGUGCUAAAUCGAAAGAUGACGUAUACGAGCUGACGCCUGCCCGGUGCUGGAAGGUUAAGAGGAGAUGUGCAAGCAUUGAAUCGAAGCCCCAGUGAACGGCGGCCGUAACAAUAACGGUCCUAAGGUAGCGAAAUUCCUUGUCAGGUAAGUUCUGACCCGCAUGAAAGGCGUAAUGAUUUGGGCACUGUCUCGACAGCCCGCCCGGCGAAAUUGUAGUACCGGUGAAGAUGCCGGUUACCCGCGACAAGACGGAAAGACCCCAUGGAGCCUUACUGUAGCCUAAUAUUGGGUUUCGAUGUUGCAUGCACAGGAUAGAUGGGACACUAGGAAGCAAGUGCUUUGGCAUUUGUGGAGUGGCCGUUGGGAUACCAUCCUUGCGAUAUUGGAAUUCUAACCUGCGCCUUUGAAUCAAGGCGGGGGACAUUGUUAGGUGGGCAGUUUGACUGGGGCGGUCGCCUCCUAAAGAGUAACGGAGGUGUUCAAAGGUUCGCUCAGCUUGAACGGAAAUCAAGCAAAAGAGUGCAAACGCAGAAGCGAGCCUAACUGCGAGACUGACGGGUCGAGCAGUAACGAAAGUUGGAGUUAGUGAUCCGGUGGUAUGUGAGUGGAAAUGCCAUCGCUCAACGGAUAAAAGUUACCCUGGGGAUAACAGGCUGAUCUCCCCCAAGAGUCCACAUCGACGGGGAGGUUUGGCACCUCGAUGUCGGCUCAUCGCAUCCUGGGGCUGUAUUCGGUCCCAAGGGUUUGGCUGUUCGCCAAUUAAAGCGGUACGCGAGCUGGGUUCAGAACGUCGUGAGACAGUUCGGUCCCUAUCUGUCGUGGGCGCAGGAUAUUUGAUGGGAGCUGUUCCUAGUACGAGAGGACCGGAGCGGACGUACCUCUGGCGCACCAGUUGUUCUGCCAAGGGCAUAGCUGGGCAACUAUGUACGGAUCGGAUAAACGCUGAAAGCAUCUAAGCGUGAAGCCGACCCAAAGAUAAGAUAUCCCAUUGUUUCAAACAAGUAAAACCCCUUGAAGACUACAAGGUUGAUAGGCAUGAUGUGUAAGUGGAGUGAUCCAUUCAGCAAGCAUGUACUAAUAGGUCGAGGGCUUGACC